This 428-nucleotide ribosomal RNA is filed under the name uncultured prokaryote. Its description in RNAcentral is "bacterial SSU rRNA". It matches the Rfam family "Bacterial small subunit ribosomal RNA", at positions 355 to 774 of the family's 1533-position model. The record is from RNAcentral.
UAGGGAAUAUUGCGCAAUGGGCGAAAGCCUGACGCAGCGACGUCGUGUGGGGGAUGAAGGGUCUUGGCUCGUAAACCCCUGUCAGAUGGGACGAUGGGAACAGUAGUUAAUACCUGCUGUUUUUGACAGUACCAUCAGAGGAAGCACCGGCUAACUACGUGCCAGCAGCCGCGGUAAUACGUAGGGUGCAAGCGUUGUUCGGAAUUAUUGGGCGUAAAGAGUAGGUAGGCGGAAUAGUAAGUCAGAUGUGAAAUCCCAGGGCUCAACUCUGGAAGUGCAUUUGAUACUGCUGUUCUUGAUUUCAGGAGAGGGAAGCAGAAUUCCUGGUGUAGGGGUGGAAUCCGUAGAUAUCAGGAGGAAUACCAGAGGCGAAGGCGGCUUCCUGGACUGAUAAUGACGCUGAGCUACGAAAGCGUGGGUAGCAAACA